CAAACUGAAGAUGGCGACCGGCGCACGGGUGAGUAACACGUAUCCAACCUGCCGAUAACUCCGGAAUAGCCUUUCGAAAGAAAGAUUAAUACCGGAUAGUAUACGAAUAUCGCAUGAUAUUUUUAUUAAAGAAUUUCGGUUAUCGAUGGGGAUGCGUUCCAUUAGUUUGUUGGCGGGGUAACGGCCCACCAAGACUACGAUGGAUAGGGGUUCUGAGAGGAAGGUCCCCCACAUUGGAACUGAGGCACGGUCCAA
This 255-nucleotide ribosomal RNA is filed under the name uncultured bacterium. RNAcentral's name for it is "partial 16S ribosomal RNA". It matches the Rfam family "Bacterial small subunit ribosomal RNA", at positions 77 to 334 of the family's 1533-position model. The record is from RNAcentral.